Molecule: small nuclear RNA, 164 nt
Organism: Tachyglossus aculeatus (Australian echidna)
Lineage: Eukaryota; Metazoa; Chordata; Mammalia; Monotremata; Tachyglossidae
Product: U1 spliceosomal RNA
Exons: 1
Source: RefSeq, a predicted model, not a curated record
AUACUUACCUGGCAGGGGCAGUACCAUGGUCAGAUAAGUGUUUUUCCCAGGGUGAGGCUGAUCCAUUCCACUCUGGUUGUGCUGGUCCCUGCCAUUUCCACAAAUGGAGGACACACAACUACAUAAUUUGUGGUAAUGGGGGACAGCAUUCACUCUGUCCUCUG